RNAcentral lists this unclassified non-coding RNA (289 nucleotides) under Hevea brasiliensis (rubber tree). Lineage: Eukaryota; Viridiplantae; Streptophyta; Magnoliopsida; Malpighiales; Euphorbiaceae. The record is from RNAcentral.
UGAAGCCCCUGCUUGAAUAUGAGGUGAAGCAUUUUUUAUGUUGAAACAUGUCCUCACUGUUUCCAUGUUUUUCAUUUUAUUUGCAUGCUUUUCGAUUUUUGUCUCCCCAUAUGUUGAUCUUAUGAAUAUGAUGCUUGGAUCAAUGCCUUUUGCCAAUAUUCAAUAAGACUAUAACCAACUGCUCCCAAAACUAUUGAUAUAUGCUUCUUUGUGCUACCUUAAUGCAACUGUUUUACAUUCUAAAAUAUGCAAGAAUUAAUGGCAGUUAAUCUGUUUUUUUUUUUUUUUG